Molecule: transfer RNA, 63 nt
Filed under: Panopea globosa
Lineage: Eukaryota; Metazoa; Mollusca; Bivalvia; Adapedonta; Hiatellidae
Description: tRNA-Arg
Source: RNAcentral
GGGUGGAUAGCAUAUGUAAUGUAUAUGAUUUCGGCUCAUAAGAUGAAAAAGUUUCUCCAUCUU